RNAcentral lists this ribosomal RNA (569 nucleotides) under Listeria monocytogenes. RNAcentral describes it as "partial 23S ribosomal RNA". It matches the Rfam family "Bacterial large subunit ribosomal RNA", at positions 1570 to 2139 of the family's 2925-position model. Lineage: Bacteria; Bacillati; Bacillota; Bacilli; Caryophanales; Listeriaceae. The record is from RNAcentral.
GAAGGAAAUUAAGUACGGAAGUUCCUGAUUUCACGCUGUCAAGAAAAGCCUCUAGGAAGAGUAGUACUGCCCGUACCGCAAACCGACACAGGUAGAUGAGGAGAGAAUCCUAAGGUGAGCGAGAGAACUCUCGUUAAGGAACUCGGCAAAAUGACCCCGUAACUUCGGGAGAAGGGGUGCUCUAUUAGGGUGCAAGCCCGAGAGAGCCGCAGUGAAUAGGCCCAGGCGACUGUUUAGCAAAAACACAGGUCUCUGCAAAACCGUAAGGUGACGUAUAGGGGCUGACGCCUGCCCGGUGCUGGAAGGUUAAGAGGAGUGCUUAGCUUCGGCGAAGGUACGAAUUGAAGCCCCAGUAAACGGCGGCCGUAACUAUAACGGUCCUAAGGUAGCGAAAUUCCUUGUCGGGUAAGUUCCGACCCGCACGAAAGGCGCAACGAUCUGGGCACUGUCUCAACGAGAGACUCGGUGAAAUUAUAGUACCUGUGAAGAUGCAGGUUACCCGCGACAGGACGGAAAGACCCCGUGGAGCUUUACUGCAACCUGAUAUGGAAUGUUUGUACCGCUUGUAC